GACACCAUAGCCAAGUGGUUACGGCGACAGAUUCGAAUUGUACGAUUAUCUGUUUCCCUUGUGGAGCGCAGGUUCGAAUCCUGCUGGUGUCG
RNAcentral lists this transfer RNA (92 nucleotides) under Grifola frondosa (maitake). It matches the Rfam family "tRNA". Rfam says of the family: Transfer RNA (tRNA) molecules are approximately 80 nucleotides in length. Their secondary structure includes four short double-helical elements and three loops (D, anti-codon, and T loops). Further hydrogen bonds mediate the characteristic L-shaped molecular structure. tRNAs have two regions of fundamental functional importance: the anti-codon, which is responsible for specific mRNA codon recognition, and the 3' end, to which the tRNAs corresponding amino acid is attached (by aminoacyl-tRNA synthetases). tRNAs cope with the degeneracy of the genetic code in two manners: having more than one tRNA (with a specific anti-codon) for a particular amino acid; and 'wobble' base-pairing, i.e. permitting non-standard base-pairing at the 3rd anti-codon position. Lineage: Eukaryota; Fungi; Basidiomycota; Agaricomycetes; Polyporales; Grifolaceae. The record is from Rfam by way of RNAcentral.